RNAcentral lists this small nuclear RNA (155 nucleotides) under Gopherus agassizii (Agassiz's desert tortoise). RNAcentral's name for it is "U4 spliceosomal RNA (ENSGAGG00000001613.1)". It matches the Rfam family "U4 spliceosomal RNA". Rfam says of the family: U4 small nuclear RNA (U4 snRNA) is a component of the major U2-dependent spliceosome. The structure of U4 snRNA from yeast and human has been reported. The record is from Rfam by way of RNAcentral. Lineage: Eukaryota; Metazoa; Chordata; Testudines; Testudinidae.
AGCCUAUAGUAAUAUGGCAGAAUCAUAGUCAAUGAAGUUAAUCUGAGGUGUGAUUAUUGCUAGUUGAAAACUUUUCCCAAUACCCUGUUGUUGUUUGUUGCUAUUGUUACCCUUUUUCUACUGAGCGACUAGCCAACAUUCGUGGUCUUGUGACU